CUCUUGGAGGCAUAAUUAUUAUUAAUGGGACCCAUACAUCAAAUGUGGUUUGUGGUGGAUUCUUAGCAAAGACUACAAAAUCACCAGGCCCAUCAUCAGAGGUCAACACCACCACAGACACAAGGCAAGUUUUGGUACCAUCACCUGGAGAAAGUCAUUUGCAAAUUAUCUAUAUUGUAGCCUCCUGUGCAGUCAGCUUGUUGUUCAUAGCAAUUUGUGUUGCAUGCCGGUGGAAACUUACUGAAAAAAUUAAACACGUUUGCCAAGAAAUUCCAAAGCCUAUAGUGAAACAGACAGAAGAAGAAGAUGGCUGUAGCUGCCACUUUCCAGAAGAGGAAAAUGGAGGGGAAAAUGAACCCAUGACACUGGAAGCCUGACACUGCUACACCUCCACUUCUCUAUAUAGACAAGAUCAGGUUUUUUCUCCUACAGCGUUACACAGGAUUACCUUUAUAUUACGUGGAUGGUUCAGAAUUAAGAGGAUUCCUGACAACUAUUAGUUCAGAUCUAAACCUAUUAUGAUAUAAACUUCAUGGUGCAGAAAAGUACAACUAGAGGUCCAUGGGUCCAUAUAAACAAGGCAGAGACUUGGAGAACACUGCUCAAAGAUCUGGAGGAAUAUCCAUUCUCAGAGCAUUGCCUUACAGUUCUGUAUCCAAUGAGCUAAUAUUGGUCUAUAGCUGGAUCACACUGGCCCACCAGAAGACUAAGAGACCAGCAGUGCGCACAGACAGAAUCAUAAUGAAACAUUGAUACAAUAGUGGCCAUGAAAAGUGUGCAUAACCCCAACACAUUUUUUCACAAAUAACUUAUUAGUCUUUGUUGAGAAUAAAGACAGAAAUGGACAGAAAUGGCAGCUUUACAGUUUAAAUCGAAUGCCUUUUACAAGCAAAGUUUUUGCUCCAUGUGAUAGAAACUGCAAAAAAUCCUUAUUAGGCCCCUUGCAGACGUGCGCAUGCGGAUUAGGUCCGGAUGCGUUGCGAAUGCGUUCAGUCAAAAAUGCGCGAUUUCGCAAACAGUUUUGUAUGCGAUUGC
Bufo bufo (common toad) is the source of this 1035-nucleotide long non-coding RNA. RefSeq lists it as uncharacterized. The transcript has 3 exons. The record is from RefSeq and is a predicted model, not a curated record. NCBI's taxonomy places the organism in Eukaryota, Metazoa, Chordata, Amphibia, Anura, Bufonidae.